This 301-nucleotide ribosomal RNA is filed under the name uncultured bacterium. RNAcentral describes it as "partial 16S ribosomal RNA". It matches the Rfam family "Bacterial small subunit ribosomal RNA", at positions 509 to 807 of the family's 1533-position model. The record is from RNAcentral.
CAGCCGCCGCGGUAAUACGAAGGGUGCAAGCGUUAAUCGGAAUUACUGGGCGUAAAGCGUGCGUAGGCGGUUUGUUAAGUCUGUUGUGAAAUCCCCGGGCUCAACCUGGGAAUGGCAAUGGAUACUGGCAAGCUGGAGUGUGUCAGAGGAUGGUGGAAUUCCCGGUGUAGCGGUGAAAUGCGUAGAGAUCGGGAGGAACAUCAGUGGCGAAGGCGGCCAUCUGGGACAACACUGACGCUGAGGCACGAAAGCGUGGGGAGCAAACAGGAUUAGAUACCCCCGUAGUCCCUGUCUCUUAUAC